CUGAUGAAACUGCAACCUGAGCUGCCAAGAACAAGCUGGCUCCUGCCUCUCACCCUGUUUCCCUAGGCAUCCAAGCCUCCUUCUGUGGCAUCCCAUUCGGCAUCUAAUACAGACACGGUGACUGACUGGAAAUUACUACUCAAGAUUUGUCAGCUGACUGGUAGAAUACUUGGAAGCUCAACCAUGCGCCUGGUAAAAGCUAAACCCAGGAAAUAACAUGGCCUCAAGCUGAAGGGGAAAUGCCUGACAAUGUCCACUGGGAAAAGGAAAAAAACAAGUGAGACUCAAGUUGUGAUCCUGCUUCCCAGGUCUUUCCUGCCCACCUCUUCCUUUCUUUUGGGGGUACACUUUCACUGGCAAGGAGAAUAAAAAGCUGUUACAAACAGAAACUUGUAAAGUGAUGAAGAAUUGAGCCAGUGGGCACAGAAAUAAAUGCUAUAACUGUAAAAUGGUGGAUGGGAAAAUGUGUGCAGACAGGCCGUGAAUGAAAAGAGGCACUGUGCAUGUCACUACCUUGGACAGGAGUUUUUAAAAAGUCUUACCAUCUCACUUUUCCCUUGCCUUAUUUUUCUGGGUAGAUUUGACAGCUCAGAAUUCCUGAGUGACUCUCCUUUCUUAUUUCACAUCUUUUUGGUUCAUUUUUCUUCUUUUCACAAUUUGAAAGCCCUCAUCCCAAGCUUUAGAAAGGAGGGAGGGGAAAGCCACCACAGGCCUGGGCUUUACCCAUGACUUUCUAUGACUUAGAAGACUCUCACAUUCUCUGCAUCUGUGGGUUUCAUCAGUCAAGUGUGCAUAGACAAUGCCCCUUCCAACCAUGAAACAGGAAGGUGCAAAUAGCAAGCAGGAGAACAUGCGCACUAUUUAACCUCUUCAGAGUCAUCAGUACAGUGUCUCUCCCAAGUCUUUCCUCACCUUGGUACAAGCCUUGUUGUAUGCUUCCAGGGCUCUGUGACUUUCCACCCAUAACUCUUUUUCUUGUCCAUCACUUCAAAUGUUACUUCACAUGCCUAUGCUGUCAUUUCAGUUUACCCUUUCAUUUCUCUCAUGUUUUUAAUUCACAUUAAUAAAUGCCUCACCCAAAUUACAGUCUCUUAUCUAUGAUUUUUAAAACUACAUAAAAUUUCAUUCCUAUGUGAGAUUGAAAUGCUAAAUUUAAUUCUCCCUUAAAUUGGAACCGUGUGAAAUUUCCUUUAAAAUCUCUUAACCAAGGAUGCCCACUUUCUUUUAUUCAACAUAGUACUGGAAGUCCUAACCAGAGAAAUUAGGCAAGAGAAAAAAAUAAAAAGCAUCUAAAAUUGACAGCAAUAAGUCAAAUUGCCACAGUUUUCAGAUGAUGUGAUUUUAUAUAUAGAAAACCCCAAACACUCUAUAAAAAGCUAUUAGAACUAAUAAACAAAUUCAGCCAAGAGGCAGGAUAAUAGAUCAACAUACAAAAUCCAUAGCAUUACUAUCUAGCAAUAGCAAAUUAUUUGAAAAAGAAAGCAAUCUCAUUCCCAACAGCUACCAAAAAUCAAAAUGUCUAUACAUAAAUUUAACAAAAGAGGUGAAAGUUAUCUACAAUAAAAGCUAAAAGACAUUAAUGAACAAAUUUGGAGAGGAUGCAAAGAUAUCAAAAGAUAUUCAAUGUUCGCGGGUUGGAAAAAUCAAAAUUGCUAUUUAUUUUAUUUAAAUUAAUCUGCAGACUCAGUGCAAUCCUUAUCAAAAUAUCAAUGACAAUAUUCACACAACUAAAAAGCAAUUCUAAAAUUUAUAUAGAACCACAAAGGAAAUCCUCAGUAACUGAGAUAAUUUUGAGAAGAAGAAAAAAAACCCAAAGCAAAACAAAACAACAAAGCAAGAGGCAUUCAAAAUAUACCACAAAACUAGAACAAUCACAGAAGCAUGGCAUGGAUAUUGAAAAAGGCAAACGGAUCAAUGGAACAGAAUAGAAAAUGUAGAAGUAAACUCAUAUAUUACUAGCCAGCUGAUUUUCAACAAAUGUACCAAGAACACACAUUAGAGAAAGGCUAGUCUUCAAUAAACAGUGCUGGAAAAAUUGGGUACCCACAUGCAGAAAAAUGAAACUAGACCCCUGUCUCUCACCACAAACAAAGAUUAAUUCAAAAUAAAUUAAAGACCUAAACGUAAGACCUGGUUAUGAAACCACUAAAAGAAAACAUAGGGGAAAUAUUUCAAGACAUCAGAAUGAGGAAGGAUUUUUUUUAAAGAUAAGAUCCUUAAAGCACAAAUAACAAAAGCAAAUUAGACAAAUGAGAUUUCAUCAAAUUAAAAAUCUUGUGCACAGCAAAGGAUACAUAUUGAGAUAAUGACAGAAGAAAAUGUUUAUAAACUGUACAUCUGACAAAGGAUUAAUAACCAGCAUGUAUAAAGAACUAAAAAUCUCAAUCACAAAAGAAAAAAAUGCAUAAAAUGGUAAACAGAUACAGACAUUUUCAAAGAAAGACAAAUAUCUAAGGGGAACAUAAAAAAUUACUCUGCAUCACAAUCCAUCAGGAAAAUGGAAAUCAAAACUACAAAGAGAUAUUAUCUUUUAUAAUGGCUACUAUAAAAAAAGACAAUAAGUGCUGGUGAGGAUGAGCAAAAAAGGGAACCCGGGAACACUAUUAGUGGAAAUGUAAAUUAGUACAAAUACUACAGAAAACAGUAUAGAGGUUUCUCAAAAAUUAAAAAUAGUACAGCCAUGAAAUCCAGCCAUCCCACAACUGAAUUUAUAUCCAAAGAAAGUAAAAUUGGUGGUUUAAAGAGGCAUUUUCACAGCUGUUUAUUGUAGCACUUUCCACAAUAUGCAAGAAAUGGAAACAAUGUAAGUGUCCAUCAGGUGUCGAGUGGAUAAAGAAAAUGUGGUACAUAUACAUAAUGGAAUACUAUUUAGCGAUAAAAAGAAUAAAAUCCUGUUAUUUGUAACCACAUGGAUAGAACUGGAAGUAUUAUGUUGAAUAAAAUAGGGCAGUCUCACUCAUACAUGGAAUAUUUAAAAAAGAUGAUCUCAUGGAACUUGAGAAGAGAAUGUAGCAGAAGCUAGGAAGAAGGAGAGGAGAGAAGAUGGGGAAAAGAUAACAGUACUGAGUUAUUGUUGGGCAGAAAAAGUAGUUUUAGUGUUCUUUGUACAGUAAAUUUACUACAG
Molecule: non-coding RNA, 3124 nt
Organism: Heterocephalus glaber (naked mole-rat)
Lineage: Eukaryota; Metazoa; Chordata; Mammalia; Rodentia; Bathyergidae
Source: RefSeq, a predicted model, not a curated record